This 63-nucleotide transfer RNA is filed under the name Mictis tenebrosa. RNAcentral describes it as "tRNA-Asp". Lineage: Eukaryota; Metazoa; Arthropoda; Insecta; Hemiptera; Coreidae. The record is from RNAcentral.
AAGAAAUUAGUUUAAAAUAAAAACAUUAACUUGUCAAGUUAAAGAUAUUAUUGAUAUUUCUUA